This 433-nucleotide ribosomal RNA is filed under the name uncultured bacterium. RNAcentral's name for it is "partial 16S ribosomal RNA". It matches the Rfam family "Bacterial small subunit ribosomal RNA", at positions 28 to 507 of the family's 1533-position model. The record is from RNAcentral.
GACGAACGCUGGCGGCGUGCCUAACACAUGCAAGUCGAACGAGACCUUCGGGUCUAGGGGCGCACGGGUGCGUAACGCGUGGGAACCUGCCCUUAGGUUCGGAAUAACUCCCCGAAAGGGGUGCUAAUACCGGAUAAUGUCUUCGGACCAAAGAUUUAUCGCCUUUGGAUGGGCCCGCGUUGGAUUAGCUAGUUGGUAGGGUAAAAGCCUACCAAGGCGACGAUCCAUAGCUGGUCUGAGAGGAUGAUCAGCCACACUGGGACUGCGACACGGCCCAGACUCCUACGCGAGGGAGCAGUGGGGAAUAUUGGACAAUGGGCGAAAGCCUGAUCCAGCAAUGCCGCGUGAGUGAUGAAGGCCUUAGGGUUGUAAAGCUCUUUUACCCGGGAUGAUAAUGACAGUACCGGGAGAAUAAGCUCCGGCUAACUCCGUG